AUUGAACGCUGGCGGAAUGCUUUACACAUGCAAGUCGAACGGCAGCACGGACUUCGGUCUGGUGGCGAGUGGCGAACGGGUGAGUAAUACAUCGGAACGUGCCCAGUCGUGGGGGAUAACGUAGCGAAAGCUACGCUAAUACCGCAUACGAUCUACGAAUGAAAGCGGGGGAUCGCAAGACCUCGCGCGAUUGGAGCGGCCGAUGGUAGAUUAGGUAGUUGGUAGGGUAAAGGCCUACCAAGCCGACGAUCUGUAGCUGGUCUGAGAGGAUGAUCAGCCACACUGGGACUGAGACACGGCCCAGACUCCUACGGGAGGCAGCAGUGGGGAAUUUUGGACAAUGGACGCAAGUCUGAUCCAGCCAUUCCGCGUGCAGGAUGAAGGCCCUCGGGUUGUAAACUGCUUUUGUACAGAACGAAAAGGCUCUGGUUAAUACCUGGGGCUCAUGACGGUACUGUAAGAAUAAGCACCGGCUAACUACGUGCCAGCCGCCGCAGUAA
RNAcentral lists this ribosomal RNA (500 nucleotides) under uncultured bacterium. Its description in RNAcentral is "partial 16S ribosomal RNA". It matches the Rfam family "Bacterial small subunit ribosomal RNA", at positions 30 to 523 of the family's 1533-position model. The record is from RNAcentral.